GACCAGCUGAAACACAGUGAUGUAGGCCGCACCACCGCCUGAAAAGCGGAAGGUCGGCGGUUCGAUCCCGCCCCUGGCCACCA
Molecule: transfer RNA, 83 nt
Filed under: Mycobacterium intracellulare subsp. chimaera
Lineage: Bacteria; Bacillati; Actinomycetota; Actinomycetes; Mycobacteriales; Mycobacteriaceae
Description: Mycobacterium chimaera tRNA-Phe
Source: RNAcentral